UUCUUUUGCAUUACACAUUGCAUACAUAGAAACGAGCUUCUAUGCUUCCAGUGACUUAAACGCAUCAAUUUAUUCAAUUUAAGCUAGAAUGACUAGAGAAACAAAAUCAUUUUCAGGCAUCAAGUUUGAUGGGAGGAGCCUUGGGAGAGAAGGGCAAUCCUGGUUGCAUCUCAUUAUCUGCUCCACAGCAUGUUACACAGACCGGCCUAGUCCGAACCACACUGCAUAUGCAACAUUUGGUUUGGCAUUGACCGUCACAUCCUGUAGCCCAAAUGAUACAAUCAGUUUCAUGAACUAAUUAGGAAUAUCUAUAACAUGCUGAACAAAAACUCAAAAAUUACAUACCAUUACCCGAAGGUUGAUUGUCAACACUCGGUGAAGACAAGGUUGCUUCAGUGUGCAGGAGUCCGGUUGUGAGCAACACCAAGAACAAGCAAAGAAGGAUUCUUGAAGAUGAUGACAUUUUGUAGUGGGGAAUUGUGAAAUUAUGAGGUUUUUGUUUCCUGUCUUUUGGGUUUUG
This 520-nucleotide long non-coding RNA is filed under the name Fragaria vesca (wild strawberry). RNAcentral describes it as "long non-coding RNA (FVES_LNC000572)". The record is from RNAcentral. Lineage: Eukaryota; Viridiplantae; Streptophyta; Magnoliopsida; Rosales; Rosaceae.